GGGGGCGAUCGGCUUCGACUGGAUGACUGUAAGUUGAGGUGGCGUGUCGUGGUUGAUCAGUUGGCCACGUAAAAAACUGAUCAAACAACAAUUGCCAAACCUUCUUUGGCUCUGGCUGCAUAACAUGCAGUCACCAGCUUUCGGAAUCCCCGCCUGAGGAGUCUGACAAGCUGGUCACAAAAUUAGGCUGGCUUCCAUUCACCGCCCGCUACGGUGGAAGCGAGAAACGUUGUGGGCUGGCUGAGUGAGGCUUUGUUUGUUGAGCCAAGCUCAGUGAGAUCAAUCAAUAGACUACACACGUAGAGGCUUCAGCCGAGGCGUCACAGGACGCGGGUUCGAUUCCCGCCGCCUCCACUA
This 357-nucleotide transfer-messenger RNA is filed under the name Planctomycetaceae bacterium. It matches the Rfam family "transfer-messenger RNA". From Rfam's summary of the family: Bacterial tmRNA, also known as 10Sa RNA or SsrA, is named for its dual tRNA and mRNA-like properties. Its role is to liberate the mRNA from a stalled ribosome. Lineage: Bacteria; Pseudomonadati; Planctomycetota; Planctomycetia; Planctomycetales; Planctomycetaceae. The record is from RNAcentral.